GACGAACGCUGGCGGCGUGCCUAAUACAUGCAAGUAGAACGCUGAAGCUUGGUGCUUGCACCGAGCGGCUGAGUUGCGAACGGGUGAGUAACGCGUAGGUAACCUGCCUGGUAGCGGGGGAUAACUAUUGGAAACGAUAGCUAAUACCGCAUAACAGUAGAUAUCGCAUGAUAGCUACUUGAAAGGUGCAAAUGCACCACUACCAGAUGGACCUGCGUUGUAUUAGCUAGUUGGUGAGGUAACGGCUCACCAAGGCAACGAUACAUAGCCGACCUGAGAGGGUGAUCGGCCACACUGGGACUGAGACACGGCCCAGACUCCUACGGGAGGCAGCAGUAGGGAAUCUUCGGCAAUGGACGGAAGUCUGACCGAGCAACGCCGCGUGAGUGAAGAAGGUUUUCGGAUCGUAAAGCUCUGUUGUAAGAGAAGAACGAGUGUGAGAGUGGAAAGUUCACACUGUGACGGUAUCUUACCAGAAAGGGACGGCUAACUACGUG
RNAcentral lists this ribosomal RNA (497 nucleotides) under uncultured bacterium. RNAcentral describes it as "partial 16S ribosomal RNA". It matches the Rfam family "Bacterial small subunit ribosomal RNA", at positions 28 to 507 of the family's 1533-position model. The record is from RNAcentral.